Molecule: long non-coding RNA, 1686 nt
Organism: Mauremys mutica (yellowpond turtle)
Lineage: Eukaryota; Metazoa; Chordata; Testudines; Geoemydidae
Exons: 3
Source: RefSeq, a predicted model, not a curated record
AUUACUGCUGCUGCUGCCGCCACCACCUCCAGGAAAGGACAGAAUCUGGGCACUCACCACCACUGAAGCUGCAGAUACUGAUCAGAAAUGAGCUACGACUAGCAAGAGACACUCUCUCCACAUGCCAGAGACACACUGGGACCGGCAACACCACAGAUCAUGGACCACGACUGGAACACAAACAACCACCGGGAAACGACGGCACCAAGGACCACUUGGAACACCACACGGGAUCAGGAGGGACACCACACAGGAUCAGGAUCAACAGAGGCAGGAACAAGAUGGUAGCAUCCAGGGCAGGGCCUCUCUGGGAAGCAACACUAGUCUCGUUCCAGAAGAACAAAAUAACAGCAUGAGGUUGAAACCUGGCACGAACCUUGGGGAACUAAACCAUCUGCCUAGAAAAGUAUGAAGACAUAGCAGUGAGUCACCAAGUUUUACUAGUCCUGCAGUCCGAGAGGAUACUGAGACAGCGCAUGCAACGUGCAUUCAUCGGGUCCCCCCGUCGCUCCCCAGCUUCAUGUUAGGUCUAAGCACUGUGGGGGAAUAGCGAGCUAAGAGAAUGCGUACCUGAUCUCAGAUACGGUCCUGGUGAAAGAGACCAUUCAAAUAAAGUCAGUGGGAGAAGAGAAGAUUGUAUCGAUCGCCUCUCCCGAGGGACCGACCCUUAAAUGGAUUCCACGUUUUAGGUCACAUUCUGAAACAGAAGUACACAUUGCAAUUGGUACACCGUGAUUUUGUGUACCGCGAUGGGGAAAGAAAAAGACACGAGGCGCUUUAAAUUGAACCGAGUGCUGUUUUGAUCUGUAAACUAUGUAUAAAAGAUAUCCGCUCGGUUGAGCACUUCAAGCGGUUACCAUGCUAGUACGAAAAAGCAAAAUCAGGCUGCAGGACUUGGGGAGAGGCAUGCUCCAAGCUUCCUCCAAUGUGCAAGAAAGAGAGCCCUUACUAGAGUGUAUCUAUAAAUGUAAAGACGUCUACAGACACAAGGCUGCGUCAGUUAAUGCUGCCCAGAAGCGCUCUGCCUCCUGGUGCUCUUCCCCUUUAUUUGUAUCCCGUCGCUGUGUAUUUCAGGGAUGAAAAAGAGCAAUUGCUGUAGCAGCUGCAGCAGGCAUUGUGUAUGGGCAAUACAAAGCAUCUACCUCAACAGCACAUGGGUCUCGUGGCAUCCUCUCUAGUAACCUUCCCCUCACGCGGAUUGCAGUAGUUCUCUCCCUUUGCCCAGGUCCCACACGUAUCGAUCCCCUCCGCCCGCCUGACUAGAAUGUCCGAGGCUAGUAACUGGAGUCCUCCCUAAUCCCUCUGUCACCAGAGGCUUCCUCCUUGGGGCUGAUCAUGCCUUAAUGGGACCCCUGCAGGACAACGAACUUGUCACUGGCCAGUGCUUACAUGUACAUCUGUAUACAGCCCUAGUCACAACAGGCAUCCUAUGAGCCUUUAAGGGCUGGUUACUAAUGCAGCCAAAGCUGACUUGUAUUAGUAUUUAACAGUGAAUAGAAACAUCUGUCCAUUUGUGCCAGCUGUGCGCAUGAGCCACUCCCUGGGCCCGAUCGGAUCCCCCCUGAAGUCAAUGGAAAGACUCCCAUUGAUUUCAAGGGAAGUUGGAUCGGGCUCCAUGUGAGCCAUAAAGGCCCUUUCCUGACAUCCAGAUCUGAUCGCCAGGUUAAAUUACCAGUUUGCCUUAAU